RNAcentral lists this ribosomal RNA (254 nucleotides) under uncultured bacterium. RNAcentral describes it as "partial 16S ribosomal RNA". It matches the Rfam family "Bacterial small subunit ribosomal RNA", at positions 524 to 776 of the family's 1533-position model. The record is from RNAcentral.
UACGUAGGGGGCAAGCGUUAUCCGGAAUCAUUGGGCGUAAAGCGUCCGUAGGUGGCGUUUCAAGUCUGCUGUCAAAGCACAAGGCUUAACCUUGUAAAGGCAGUGGAAACUGAAAGAGCUAGAGUGCGGUAGGGGUAGAGGGAAUUCCCAGUGUAGCGGUGAAAUGCGUAGAGAUUGGGAAGAACACCGGUGGCGAAAGCGCUCUACUGGGCCUGCACUGACACUGAGGGACGAAAGCUAGGGGAGCGAAAGGG